GCCUGAGGGGCUCAGUCAGUUGAGCAUCUGACUUCGGCUCAGGUCAUGAUCUCACAGUUCCUGGGUUCAAGCCCUGCAUCAGGCU
Felis catus (domestic cat) is the source of this 85-nucleotide non-coding RNA. The record is from Rfam. Lineage: Eukaryota; Metazoa; Chordata; Mammalia; Carnivora; Felidae.